UUUUGCCGUGGUUUGCGGAAGAAAGAGAAACACGGAGAAGGUGGCACGACGCCGUUUUGUUUCUUCUAAGAUAUAGGAGGAUUCUCAGUUCAAGAUCUGUAUAAUCGGAAUUGAAGAGUUUAGAAUCCCUGCAAAAAUGUCUUACUACCCUAAAGGCCACCACGAUGACGACGGCACUGAAUUUGAUGAGUACGAUCCAACUCCUUAUGGUGGUGGAUACGACAUUGCUUUGACUUAUGGUCGCCCACUUCCGCCAUCUGAGGAAACCUGUUAUCAGCCUUCCUCAGCUUCUGAUGAGUUCGACUAUGAUCGUCCUCAGUACACUUCGUAUGCUGAGCCUUCUGCUUAUGGUGAUGAGGCUCUUGAUAAUGAGUACCAGAGCUAUUCGAGGCCUAAGCCUCGCCCCACCCCUUCUUAUCGUCCAUCUGAGGAAACUCAUACUUAUGAGCAGCCUCAAGCUGAUUAUGGGUUUCAGCCUGGGGUGAAUCGCCCUGGCGGAGAAAGUGAAUAUGGAUCUGGGUAUGGACGGAAGAGUGAGUAUGAAGAAGAGCCCACAUCAGAAUAUGGAUCUGGGUAUGGGAGAAAGAGUGA
This 591-nucleotide unclassified non-coding RNA is filed under the name Hevea brasiliensis (rubber tree). Lineage: Eukaryota; Viridiplantae; Streptophyta; Magnoliopsida; Malpighiales; Euphorbiaceae. The record is from RNAcentral.